UUUUUUUCUCAAAACACUAUAAUUACAUGGCACUCUAACGAUGAGAUUGAAACAGUUUUUUAUUUUUUAUUUUUCUUUCGAAGUUUCCACCAAAGUAUCACAUUGUUAUAUACAAGUUUUAUUCUCAGCUACAACAGUUGACUAACCUCCACAAUUAACUAUUCUGAUGUUUGCACGAAUUAAAAUAUAGUAUAUUAGCAUGAUACUUU
This 209-nucleotide long non-coding RNA is filed under the name Capsella rubella. RNAcentral describes it as "long non-coding RNA (CRUB_LNC002957)". The record is from RNAcentral. Lineage: Eukaryota; Viridiplantae; Streptophyta; Magnoliopsida; Brassicales; Brassicaceae.